This 793-nucleotide ribosomal RNA is filed under the name uncultured bacterium. RNAcentral's name for it is "bacterial SSU rRNA". It matches the Rfam family "Bacterial small subunit ribosomal RNA", at positions 8 to 796 of the family's 1533-position model. The record is from RNAcentral.
AGAGUUUGAUCAUGGCUCAGAUUGAACGCUGGCGGCAGGCCUAACACAUGCAAGUCGAGCGGAUGAGUGGAGCUUGCUCCAUGAUUCAGCGGCGGACGGGUGAGUAAUGCCUAGGAAUCUGCCUGGUAGUGGGGGACAACGUUUCGAAAGGAACGCUAAUACCGCAUACGUCCUACGGGAGAAAGCAGGGGACCUUCGGGCCUUGCGCUAUCAGAUGAGCCUAGGUCGGAUUAGCUAGUUGGUGAGGUAAAGGCUCACCAAGGCGACGAUCCGUAACUGGUCUGAGAGGAUGAUCGGUCACACUGGAACUGAGACACGGUCCAGACUCCUACGGGAGGCAGCAGUGGGGAAUAUUGGACAAUGGGCGAAAGCCUGAUCCAGCCAUGCCGCGUGUGUGAAGAAGGUCUUCGGAUUGUAAAGCACUUUAAGUUGGGAGGAAGGGCAGUAAGCUAAUACCUUGCUGUUUUGACGUUACCGACAGAAUAAGCACCGGCUAACUUCGUGCCAGCAGCCGCGGUAAUACGAAGGGUGCAAGCGUUAAUCGGAAUUACUGGGCGUAAAGCGCGCGUAGGUGGUUCAGCAAGUUGGAUGUGAAAGCCCCGGGCUCAACCUGGGAACUGCAUCCAAAACUACUGAGCUAGAGUACGGUAGAGGGUGGUGGAAUUUCCUGUGUAGCGGUGAAAUGCGUAGAUAUAGGAAGGAACACCAGUGGCGAAGGCGACCACCUGGGCUGAUACUGACACUGAGGUGCGAAAGCGUGGGGAGCAAACAGGAUUAGAUACCCCGGUAGUCC